Molecule: unclassified non-coding RNA, 1398 nt
Filed under: Hevea brasiliensis (rubber tree)
Lineage: Eukaryota; Viridiplantae; Streptophyta; Magnoliopsida; Malpighiales; Euphorbiaceae
Source: RNAcentral
CGAGCUCCCCUAUAAAUAAGGAGUUCUAGAUAUCCCUAGGACCUUUUUCUUACUUUUUGAAACCCUUCUUCUUUCUCAAGAGAGAGAAUUAGAGAGAAAAAGGGGUCUUUGGAGAGAGAGACAUUUUUAGUGAGAGAAAACACCAUUUUAGAGAGAAAAUCCAAAAUUUGAACGGGAUUUGGUCUGAUAUAGAUCAAGUAAUCUUCAUUAUUCUAUUCUCCAAUAAUCAAAUAGUAUUUGGGAGGGUUUUAGAUUGAGUUUUAGGAUUAAAUUCAGAUUAAAACUAAGCUAGAGCUCAUCCUUUGGUGUACUUGCCUCUUAAGCUUCCUCAAGUCCUUGGAAGAGCCAACAACCGCUGGUAUGUGAUUCUAAACGAUUUUUCAUUGACUUUGUGAUCAAUUUGUGGAUUGAUUACCGCUUGAUUGCUUUAUUUAGGUAGAAGAAUUGCUUAAGAGAUGAUUUCCCCAAUGUGGAGAGGAAUCCUCCCCCAAUAGCAUACAUGAUGUUAUUUGCUGUAAAUGAAUGGUUUUAAUCGUUGUUUGGCUAAAUUUUAGUCUAUAUAUGCUUAUCUAUUAAUCUGGAAAUGCUUAGAUUAAGAAUUCUUGAGCGUUUGGAUUGGAUUUUUAUUAUUUGUGUUCUUCUACUAUUUACUUGAUUUAGGAUGCUAGAUCUUAAUUUUCUAUUGUUUUUAAUUUUCUGGAGGCAUGUAUAAAUUUAUUUGGAUGAUUUUGAAUGUGUUUGGAUGAGCUUUGCCACUUUGAAAUGUCAAAAAACCGUUUUUGGGUCUGCCUGCUCUGUUUUUGUGCCGUCCUGCAGGUGACCUGUGCGCACAGGUCCAGACUUGCGUGCACAGGUCAUAAGUCCUGUGGACGAGGUCUGCACAGGUCUUCUGACCCUCGUGCACAGGUCCUGUUCUGGCUGAGUUGAAUUUCACCUGCAUUUGAUUCUUUCCGUUUACAUGCACUGUUUGGCUCUUUUCUGUUCAUAAUCCUUUUUCAUAUGUUUAUUCUCAUAUGUUCUUUGUUAUUUGGAUGAUUUUUACUCAUUAUAUUGUGGUUGAAUGACUAAAAUUACAUUAUGGAUGAACAUUUUAUAUUUUUAAUAAAUAUAUGAAUGAAUGCUUUUUAUGGAUGAAUGGAUGUGUUUGGUUUAUUUUUAUUCAUUUUGGAUUACUGUAAUUCAUAAUUUCCAGGGGUGAUUAAUCAUUUCUAAGUUGUAAUUCAUAUUUGUAAAGAUAGAUAAUUUAUGUAAUAUUUCUCUCUUUUUGUUUAUUUUCUUUUAUUAAUCAGUUUGUAAUGCCUAAUCCCGUUGUCCCCUUUUUUAUUUGGUCUUGUAAUUUCUAUUCUCCUCCCUCCUUUCUAUGGAUGCUUUUAUUAUGUGAUUUAUGAUAUGACCUUG